RNAcentral lists this transfer RNA (32 nucleotides) under Gyrodactylus salaris (gyrodactylosis fluke). Its description in RNAcentral is "partial tRNA-Trp". The record is from RNAcentral. Lineage: Eukaryota; Metazoa; Platyhelminthes; Monogenea; Gyrodactylidea; Gyrodactylidae.
AAACAAAAAGUGCAGACUGUAUGCACUCUCUG